GGCGGACGGGUGAGUAACGCGUGGGAACGUGCCUUCUGGUCUGGAAUAACCCUGGGAAACUAGGGCUAAUACCGGAUACGCCCUUUUGGGGAAAGGUUUACUGCCGGAAGAUCGGCCCGCGUCUGAUUAGCUAGUUGGUGGGGUAACGGCCUACCAAGGCGACGAUCAGUAGCUGGUCUGAGAGGAUGAUCAGCCACACUGGGACUGAGACACGGCCCAGACUCCUACGGGAGGCAGCAGUGGGGAAUAUUGGACAAUGGGCGCAAGCCUGAUCCAGCCAUGCCGCGUGAGUGAUGAAGGCCUUAGGGUUGUAAAGCUCUUUUAUCCGGGACGAUAAUGACGGUACCGGAGGAAUAAGCCCCGGCUAACUUCGUGCCAGCAGCCGCGGUAAU
Molecule: ribosomal RNA, 392 nt
Filed under: uncultured bacterium
Lineage: Bacteria
Description: bacterial SSU rRNA
Rfam family: Bacterial small subunit ribosomal RNA
Source: RNAcentral